GACGAACGCUGGCGGCGUGCUUAACACAUGCAAGUCGAACGAUGAAGAAGAGAAACGCGAACUUCGGUUCAAAUUUCACUUCGGAUUAGUGGCAGACGGGUGAGUAACGCGUGAGCAACCUACCUCUUACAAAGGGAUAGCCUCGGGAAACCGUGAUUAAUACCAUAUGACACAUUCAUAAGGCAUCUUAAGAAUGUUAAAGCUACGGCGGUAAGAGAUGGGCUCGCGUCCCAUUAGCUAGUUGGUGAGGUAACGGCCCACCAAGGCGACGAUGGGUAACCGACCAGAAAGGGUGAGGGGGCGCAUGGGAAAAGUGACACGCACCGAAGGGAGACCGGAGGCAGCAGUGCGGGAUAAUGCACGAUGGAGUGAUUUCGGAAACAGCGACGCCGGGGGAAAGACUAGGGAUUUCGAUUCGGAGAACGCCGUUGUAAAAGACGACCCGGACGGAACCAAAGAAGAAAGACCCGGCUAAAUACGU
RNAcentral lists this ribosomal RNA (481 nucleotides) under uncultured bacterium. RNAcentral's name for it is "partial 16S ribosomal RNA". It matches the Rfam family "Bacterial small subunit ribosomal RNA", at positions 28 to 506 of the family's 1533-position model. The record is from RNAcentral.